UCCAAGAGUUGUAGCAGGGUGUGCUGCGGCAAUUAAGGCUCUGGGUGCAAAGAUAUGUGGGGACUGGGGGCUUCACUCCAGCUAUAAAAUUGGAGCAUGGGAAAAACUCGGUAGAGGUCCCCCUCAGCUGGUCUGAGACCCCCACCACCUUUGACCUUGCUGCGGACUCUGGAACACCAAGCAGAUAACAGUCCGGGAACAGCGCAUGACAGGAGGGAGGCUGUACCCUGGCCUGCAUCUCAGCAGGGCUGAGCACUGUGGAAAGGAAACGGGCACAACAGAGAGCUCCACACUGAAAGAUGUAGAGAUGGGGCCGGUUUGUUUUACCUGUAGUGAUUCAAGAAUCCUUUCCUGAUGUUCCUGUUGAGCACAAGAGCCUUCAGCCACUCAGUCUCUAGCUCCCGUCGGGAAGUGAAUGUAUCUGACAUGCUAAGGAAACAAGUUUUAACUAUCCCACAGAAGCAGAAUGGAGAUAACAUCUGAUGUGCAGCUACUUCUACGUGCCAAGAGGCUGGGGUAGGACUGACGCAGCUUGCCACGGCAAAUACUCCGAGCCAAGCCAGUGCAGGUCCCCUCACUAAGGGUAACGCUGAAGGGUGAGCUCAGCCCCUUUGCUCCUCAGGCAUGGCAAGAUCAGAACUGAAGGCCCCAGACUAACAGCAUUCUGUCAAAGCUCUACAUGCAUACAGCACGGGCCUGACUUUCUUUUCUCUGCGGGAUGUUGCUGAACCCUCUGUGUCCCGAGAUCUAGAGAAAGGACACCAGGCAGUAGGCUGUGAAUCCGUAAAAGGAGGUUUUUCCCACAUCUUUUUUCACAACCUAUGAUUACAGCCCUCCUCACCCUGGCCAAGGAAAUCAAACAGAGGAGCAGAGUUAGCAGGUGACCACUGAAAACCUUCGCAUUCAUGUUUGUAACGGGAAAAGACAGUGUCAGUCUGGAGCAAAGGAGGAUUACGCCCAUUUUGAGCUACAUCUUUUGAUCUGCAGGAGAGCCCCCUGCUUUGGAGAUGGCUCUUUAUGGCUCAUCUGUGAGCCCAGACUCUCCCUGUGUGUUUAGGAACCUUCUAAUUCCCUCUGGUUUUUCACCAUCUCCUGCCAUCAGUCAUUUUAGCACUUGGGAGUCAGUGCAAUACUUGAGGUGAAGUUAUUCAGCGAUAGUUACCUGCUAGAUGGAAUAAGCUAGCUGUGUAUCUUCUAAGAAGGAAGCCUGCCCUACCGUAAGACAUAGUCAUGGGAGUC
Phalacrocorax carbo (great cormorant) is the source of this 1239-nucleotide non-coding RNA. The record is from RefSeq and is a predicted model, not a curated record. Lineage: Eukaryota; Metazoa; Chordata; Aves; Suliformes; Phalacrocoracidae.